UCUCCGUAGGUGAACCUGCGGAGGGAUCAUUAAAGAGAAAGGACGCAAGUCCGACCUCCAACCCUUGUAUUAUUACAGUUUCUUCGGUGCUCAUCUCUUCGCGGAGAGGCACCGAAUAUUAUACCCGUCAUACUUGAAGUCUUAUCACAAGUUAAAUCUAUUAAAACUUUCAACAACGGAUCUCUUGGUUCUGGCAUCGAUGAAGAACGCAGC
RNAcentral lists this unclassified non-coding RNA (213 nucleotides) under uncultured fungus. RNAcentral's name for it is "sequence contains ITS1, 5.8S rRNA gene". The stretch from base 165 to 213 matches the Rfam family "5.8S ribosomal RNA", at positions 1 to 49 of the family's 154-position model. Lineage: Eukaryota; Fungi. The record is from RNAcentral.